AAUAGAUACCCGGGUAGUCCACGCCAUAAACGAUGGGCACUAGGUGUGGGGGGUGUCGACUCCCUCCGUGCCGAAGCUAACGCAUUAAGUGCCCCGCCUGGGGAGUACGGCCGCAAGGCUAAAACUCAAAGGAAUUGACGGGGCCCGCGACAAGCAGCGGAGCAUGUGGUUUAAUUCGACGCAACGCGAAGAACCUUACCCGGGCUUGACAUGUGCCUGACCGCCCUGGAAACAGGGCUUCCCUUCGGGGCAGGUUCACAGGUGGUGCAUGGCUGUCGUCAGCUCGUGUCGUGAGAUGUUGGGUUAAGUCCCGCAACGAGCGCAACCCCCGUCGCAUGUUGCCAGCAUUUAGUUGGGGACUCAUGCGAGACUGCCGGUGACAAACCGGAGGAAGGUGGGGAUGACGUCAAGUCAUCAUGCCCCUUAUGUCCGGGGCUACACACGUGCUACAUUGGCGCGUACAGAGGGCUGCGAUACCGUGAGGUGGAGCGAAUCCCUUAAAGCGCGUCUCGGUUCGGAUAGCAGGCUGAAACUCG
Molecule: ribosomal RNA, 536 nt
Filed under: uncultured bacterium
Lineage: Bacteria
Description: bacterial SSU rRNA
Rfam family: Bacterial small subunit ribosomal RNA
Source: RNAcentral